Molecule: transfer RNA, 65 nt
Filed under: Simocephalus vetulus
Lineage: Eukaryota; Metazoa; Arthropoda; Branchiopoda; Diplostraca; Daphniidae
Description: tRNA-Asp
Source: RNAcentral
GAGAAUUUAGUUAAAUAAAUAAUAUAAGUUUGUCAUACUUAAGUUGUCUUUUUAGACAUUUCUUU